AGCUUGCUUCUCCGGAUGAGUUGCGAACGGGUGAGUAACGCGUAGGUAACCUGCCUGGUAGCGGGGGAUAACUAUUGGAAACGAUAGCUAAUACCGCAUAAGGGUAGAUGUUGCAUGACAUUUGCUUAAAAGGUGCAAUUGCAUCACUACCAGAUGGACCUGCGUUGUAUUAGCUAGUUGGUGGGGUAACGGCUCACCAAGGCGACGAUACAUAGCCGACCUGAGAGGGUGAUCGGCCACACUGGGACUGAGACACGGCCCAGACUCCUACGGGAGGCAGCAGUAGGGAAUCUUCGGCAAUGGACGAAAGUCUGACCGAGCAACGCCGCGUGAGUGAAGAAGGUUUUCGGAUCGUAAAGCUCUGUUGUAAGAGAAGAACGAGUGUGAGAGUGGAAAGUUCACGCUGUGACGGUAUCUUACCAGAAAGGGACGGCUAACUACGUGCCAGCAGCCGCGGUAAUACGUAGGUCCCGAGCGUUGUCCGGAUUUAUUGGGCGUAAAGCGAGCGCAGGCGGUUAGAUAAGUCUGAAGUUAAAGGCUGUGGCUUAACCAUAGUACGCUUUGGAAACUGUUUAACUUGAGUGCAAGAGGGGAGAGUGGAAUUCCAUGUGUAGCGGUGAAAUGCGUAGAUAUAUGGAGGAACACCGGUGGCGA
This 654-nucleotide ribosomal RNA is filed under the name uncultured Bacilli bacterium. RNAcentral describes it as "bacterial SSU rRNA". It matches the Rfam family "Bacterial small subunit ribosomal RNA", at positions 77 to 718 of the family's 1533-position model. The record is from RNAcentral. Lineage: Bacteria; Bacillati; Bacillota; Bacilli.